CAAAAUUUGCCAUAGGGUGGAGAGAGAUGUUAUCAGUGGUUAAUGUGAUAGCUGAGCCCCCCGGUUGGUAAUCCACCAUGAUUUACUACAAGUUCAAAUAGUCCGAAAAUAAUGUUAGCCGGAGUAGCCCGCUCGGUACAAACUGGUUAAAUCAAAAUGUUAGCCAGAGUAGCCCGCUCGGUACAAACUGGUUAAAUCAAAAUGUUAGCCAGAGUAGCCCGCUCGGUACAAACUGGUUAAAUCAAAAUGUUAGCCGGAGUAGCCUGCUCGGUACAAACUGGUUAAAUCAAAAUGUUAGCCGGAGUAGCCCACUCAGUACAAACUGGUUAAAUCAAAAUGUUAGCCGGAGGUAGCCUGCUCGGUACAAACUGGUUAAAUCAAAAUGUUAGCCGGAGUAGCCCACUCAGUACAAACUGGUUAAAUCAAAAUGUUAGCCGGAGUAGCUCGUUAGGGAACAAACUGGUUCAAUCAACGCUGUUCCAACGUAAUUUUAUCAAUGUAUUGUGACGUGGAAUCUACAUGGAAAAUACAUCUUGAUUUGACAAAAGUAAUCGGUUGUUCUGAGGAUGGGAUUUCUACCACAGGGUUAUGUUGUCAUGGUUACCCAUUUUCAACAAAGACAAACCUUUUACGUAAGGUAGGAUUUGAUUUACUCCUAGUCUUUAACUUUGACGUUUGGUUGAGACGUGAAUCGACAUUAAUUAUUAAUUUAAUUAUGGCUUUAAUUAAUAACUGGAAUUAAAGCCAGACUAAGUCAGUGGCAAAGAUGGAACUCUCCAAGCAGAAGAUACAUCUCAUUCAAAUGUUUAUAUAUGGUUGCGUUGACAACCAAGCACAAUUUCAUAUCACUUUUGAAAUGCAAAAACAAUUGCCUAUUAACUUGUCGACAAGUUAACAAAUGCUUUGUUGGAUUCACGUCUUCAACCCAUCUCCUUUAAAUGUUUAUAUUUGGUUGCACUCAACCAAAUGCAAUUCAAUAUUACUUUUACCUAAAGGUAAGAAAAGAUAUUUUAGAAAUCUUAAAAUUAAUAAAACAUCCAUGGCCAUAAUUUGAGGCUACUGUAACUAUACGUUUCGUCUUAUGUAAUCAUAUAAAGCGUGCAUGUUCAAUUGCUGUAAUAAUUUGCACAUAAUCUUGAACGGUGGAAUCUCAACUUCCAAUCCAGAGCGGUAUCCUACGAAGCAAGCUAGAUCUUCUCAGGGUUUUAUAAAGGUAACCAGCUUCACUUAGCUUCACAUUCCAGCUCAGGCUUCAUUUAAAUAAAUAAAAAGAUGUCUGCAAGCAGUUGUUACAGGAAAAAAAGCUUCAAGGCUUUUGUCCAAAACAAAAUAAGAGUCCAGGACAUGAACAACAACUUUCCGUUCUUCCAGGGAGAGAUGGAUGUCCUGAAAGAGGCUUGCAGCAAGAUGACAAUGAAC
This is a long non-coding RNA of Oncorhynchus tshawytscha (Chinook salmon), 1419 nucleotides long. NCBI's taxonomy places the organism in Eukaryota, Metazoa, Chordata, Actinopteri, Salmoniformes, Salmonidae. The record is from Ensembl.